RNAcentral lists this long non-coding RNA (464 nucleotides) under Brachypodium distachyon (stiff brome). RNAcentral's name for it is "long non-coding RNA (BDIS_LNC003004)". Lineage: Eukaryota; Viridiplantae; Streptophyta; Magnoliopsida; Poales; Poaceae. The record is from RNAcentral.
CCUUUUCUUUUUCUUUUUCUUUUUCUUUCUCCCCUUCUUCCUCCUGCCGCCGCCACCUUCUUCUCCCCUUUCUUCUUCCUUCUUCCCUGCUGCCUUCUUCCAUGGCCGGCGCCCCCCUUCCUCCUGAGCACGCUCCCCGCGCGCGUCCUCGUCGCCUCUCUCUCCCUGCGGCCCUCCUCUCCAAGACCGUCCCUCUCUCCCCGUGUGCUUCCUCCCUGUCUCCCUCUCCCGUGAGCCCCCACGAGCGCCUCCAUCUCCCCAUUGCCCACGCCCGUCUUGCCGGCGCCGCCUGCCCUCUGCGCCAAGCGCCUCCCCCUGCUCCGCCGCUUCUCUGCGCCCCAGGCCGCCUGGCCGCGUCCGCCUCGUGCGCGCCUCCCCUGGCGCCCCCCUUCUCCUCUCUCCCCGCGCGCUCUCUUCCUCUACAGGCGACCACCUCCACACGCGCCGCCUCCACCGCGCACGAC